UACGUAGGGCGCAAGCGUUGUCCGGAAUUAUUGGGCGUAAAGAGCUCGUGGGCGGUUUGUCGCGUCUGCUGUGAAAUCCCGAGGCUCAACCUCGGGCUUGCAGUGGGUACGGGCAGACUAGAGUGUGGUAGGGGAGACUGGAAUUCCUGGUGUAGCGGUGGAAUGCGCAGAUAUCAGGAGGAACACCGAUGGCGAAAGCAGGUUUCUGGGCCAUCACUGACGCUGAGCUGCGAAAGCUAGGGGAGCAAACAGG
RNAcentral lists this ribosomal RNA (253 nucleotides) under uncultured bacterium. RNAcentral's name for it is "partial 16S ribosomal RNA". It matches the Rfam family "Bacterial small subunit ribosomal RNA", at positions 524 to 776 of the family's 1533-position model. The record is from RNAcentral.